UGAGGAAUAUUGGUCAAUGGGCGAAAGCCUGAACCAGCCAAGUCGCGUGAGGGAAGACGGUCCUAUGGAUUGUAAACCUCUUUUGUCGGGGAGCAAGGAUCCGCACGAGUGCGGAGGCGAGAGUACCCGAAGAAAAAGUAUCGGCUAACUCCGUGCCAGCAGCCGCGGUAAUACGGAGGAUGCGAGCGUUAUCCGGAUUUAUUGGGUUUAAAGGGUGCGCAGGCGGAGGAUCAAGUCAGCGGUAAAAUAGCGGGGCUCAACCCCGUCGAGCCGUUGAAACUGGUUUUCCUAGAGUGAGCGAGAAGUAUGCGGAAUGCGUGGUGUAGCGGUGAAAUGCAUAGAUAUCACGCAGAACUCCGAUUGCGAAGGCAGCAUACCGGCGCUCAACUGACGCUCAGGCACGAAAGCGUGGGUAUCGAACAGGAUUAGAUACC
RNAcentral lists this ribosomal RNA (434 nucleotides) under uncultured bacterium. Its description in RNAcentral is "bacterial SSU rRNA". It matches the Rfam family "Bacterial small subunit ribosomal RNA", at positions 355 to 786 of the family's 1533-position model. The record is from RNAcentral.